GGUAAGGCCCUUCGGGGUACACGAGCGGCGAACGGGUGAGUAACACGUGAGCAACCUGCCCCUGACUCCGGGAUAAGCGGUGGAAACGCCGUCUAAUACCGGAUACGACCCUUGGCCUCCUGGCCGGGGGUGGAAAGUUGUUUCGGUUGGGGAUGGGCUCGCGGCCUAUCAGCUUGUUGGUGGGGUAACGGCCUACCAAGGCGAUUACGGGUAGCCGGCCUGAGAGGGCGACCGGCCACACUGGGACUGAGACACGGCCCAGACUCCUACGGGAGGCAGCAGUGGGGAAUAUUGCACAAUGGGCGAAAGCCUGAUGCAGCGACGCCGCGUGGGGGAUGACGGCCUUCGGGUUGUAAACCUCUUUUACCACUAACGCAGGCCCGGAGUUCUCUUCGGGUUGACGGUAGGUGGGGAAUAAGGACCGGCUAACUACGUGCCAGCAGCCGCGGUAAUACGUAGGGUCCGAGCGUUGUCCGGAAUUAUUGGGCGUAAAGAGCUCGUAGGCGGCGUGUCGCGUCUGCUGUGAAAGACCGGGGCUUAACUCCGGUUUGGCAGUGGAUACGGGCACGCUAGAGGUAGGUAGGGGAGACUGGAAUUCCUGGUGUAGCGGUGAAAUGCGCAGAUAUCAGGAGGAACACCGGUGGCGAAGGCGGGUCUCUGGGCCUUACCUGACGCUGAGGAGCGAAAGCAUGGGGAGCGAACAGGAUUAGAUACCCUGGU
This 720-nucleotide ribosomal RNA is filed under the name Nocardiopsis sp. 6-20. RNAcentral describes it as "bacterial SSU rRNA". It matches the Rfam family "Bacterial small subunit ribosomal RNA", at positions 68 to 791 of the family's 1533-position model. Lineage: Bacteria; Bacillati; Actinomycetota; Actinomycetes; Streptosporangiales; Nocardiopsidaceae. The record is from RNAcentral.